RNAcentral lists this transfer RNA (73 nucleotides) under Urocitellus parryii (Arctic ground squirrel). RNAcentral's name for it is "Spermophilus parryii (Arctic ground squirrel) tRNA". It matches the Rfam family "tRNA". Rfam says of the family: Transfer RNA (tRNA) molecules are approximately 80 nucleotides in length. RNAcentral also lists the same sequence under 1 other name. The record is from Rfam by way of RNAcentral. Lineage: Eukaryota; Metazoa; Chordata; Mammalia; Rodentia; Sciuridae.
GGUGAUAAAGCUCAGUUGGUAGAGUGCUUGCCUUACUUGCACAAGUCCCUGGGUUCGACCCCCAGCACCCCCA